Molecule: ribosomal RNA, 253 nt
Filed under: uncultured bacterium
Lineage: Bacteria
Description: partial 16S ribosomal RNA
Rfam family: Bacterial small subunit ribosomal RNA
Source: RNAcentral
UACAGAGGUGGCAAGCGUUGUUCGGAAUUACUGGGCGUAAAGGGCGCGUAGGCGGUCUUGUAAGUUCCGUGUGAAAUCCCUCGGCUCAACUGAGGAACCGCACGGAAAACUGCUUGGCUUGAGUUCGGGAGAGGGAAGCGGAAUUCCGGGUGUAGCGGUGAAAUGCGUAGAUAUCCGGAGGAACACCCGUAGCGAAGGCGGCACUCUGGGCCGGAACUGACGCUGAGGAGCGAAAGCGUGGGGAGCAAACAGG